Molecule: transfer RNA, 72 nt
Filed under: Camelus bactrianus (Bactrian camel)
Lineage: Eukaryota; Metazoa; Chordata; Mammalia; Artiodactyla; Camelidae
Also listed under: 2 other names
Rfam family: tRNA
About the family: Transfer RNA (tRNA) molecules are approximately 80 nucleotides in length. Their secondary structure includes four short double-helical elements and three loops (D, anti-codon, and T loops).
Source: Rfam by way of RNAcentral
GGGGGUGUAGCUCAGUGGUAAAGUGCCUGCUUGGCAUGAGUGAGGCCUUGGAUUCAAUCCCCAGUACCUCCA